AUGCAAAAACCGAGCCGGGACAAAGGCUUCCAACGGGAGCGGGACAUUUGUCUACAUUUCGCUCAUUGUCCGCAGCUUAGCAAUCGGUUUGUAUUUGUGUUUGCCCGGGUCCGACCACCCAGGACGCGCCGACGAGGGGCUCGCUCUAACCUGGGGCAUUGUCACCCACGUCACAUACUGGGGGCGAGGCAGCGAGGGCUGCAGAAAGCCGCCGAGCGGCUCAGGGAGAGGCGCCCUCGCCGGGCGCUGGCAACUCGGGGGCGGCCGGGGCGCGGAGGCCGCAGCUGCGCACGGGGAGGCCGGGCGCCCGCGCUGCGCUCGCGGCGAGGAGGCGGCCAGACCUGGACCCCCGCCGCGGCCUUCUCCGUUCCCCGCUCCCCGGGCAAAGCACAGUUCAGACGCUUCUCUGGGGUGGACGAGCAUCAGGUAGCAAACCUGCCCCCCCCCCCCCCGCCAAAAAUACAAAACUGGAAGGAGGGGCGGGGCUGCGGCGAGGACUUUUCCUCGCCGGCCCCGGACAGAAGGUGCCUUCCCGGGAAAGUUCAGUUUCAACCUCACGCAAGCUGGGAGCCUGCGGCGUGUCCUCGCAACACGCCCCUGAGGCAUCCGAAAGGACUCUCUGCGGAGAAGAAAACUCCACAGAGAAAUCAGCAGCACCUCCCGCCCUGCGACCCCCUCCUCCGCCGUUUUGGGGUCCUCGCCCCCCUGGAGACCGCGCCCGCGCCCCGCCACCCCUCCCCUCUCUCCGCCCCCGCUGGAGGCUGCAGAGGGAGGCAUAAUAGGGGCAGGGAGGGCGCGGGGCCGUCUGCCCUUUCCUCCACACGGAAGGCGCGGCCCGCGGGCCCGGAGGUGGUGGGGCCGGGGCCGAUCGAGGCUCGGGGAAGACGUCCCAACUCCCCCUUCCCCCGCCCCUCCCCGGGCGUCCGCACAGCGCCAAGAGAACGGUGCUGUCCUGCUCGGCUGCACGGAGCUGGAGGGGGAGAGGGGAGGCGGGGAGACGGAAAUAAAUGUCUUUAG
This 1017-nucleotide long non-coding RNA is filed under the name Bos indicus x Bos taurus (hybrid cattle). RNAcentral describes it as "lncRNA (ENSBIXG00005000702.1)". The record is from RNAcentral. Lineage: Eukaryota; Metazoa; Chordata; Mammalia; Artiodactyla; Bovidae.